GGCCAGCAGCCGCGGUAAUACGGAGGAGGCAAGCGUUAUCCGGAAUUAUUGGGCGUAAAGCGUCCGUAGGUGGUUGUUCAAGUCUUCUGUCAAAGCGCGGAGCUUAACUCCGUAAAGGCAGAGGAAACUGAGCGGCUAGAGUGCGAUAGGGGCAGAGGGAAUUCCCAGUGUAGCGGUGAAAUGCGUAGAUAUUGGGAAGAACACCGGUGGCGAAAGCGCUCUGCUGGGUCUGCACUGACACUGAGGGACGAAAGCUAGGGGAGCGAAAGGGAUUAGAUACCCCUGUAGUCCUAGCUGUAAACGAUGGGUACUAGGCGUUGUCCGUAUCGACCCGGGCAGUGCCGUAGCUAACGCGUUAAGUACCCCGCCUGGGGAGUACGCUCGCAAGAGUGAAACUUAAAGGAAUUGGCGGGGGAC
This 417-nucleotide ribosomal RNA is filed under the name uncultured bacterium. RNAcentral's name for it is "bacterial SSU rRNA". It matches the Rfam family "Bacterial small subunit ribosomal RNA", at positions 506 to 921 of the family's 1533-position model. The record is from RNAcentral.